Molecule: ribosomal RNA, 253 nt
Filed under: uncultured bacterium
Lineage: Bacteria
Description: partial 16S ribosomal RNA
Rfam family: Bacterial small subunit ribosomal RNA
Source: RNAcentral
UACGUAGGGUGCGAGCGUUGUCCGGAAUUAUUGGGCGUAAAGGGCUCGUAGGCGGUCUGUUGCGUCGGGAGUGAAAACUCAGGGCUUAACCCUGAGCCUGCUUCCGAUACGGGCAGACUAGAGUGCGGUAGGGGAGAUCGGAAUUCCUGGUGUAGCGGUGAAAUGCGCAGAUAUCAGGAGGAACACCGGUGGCGAAGGCGGAUCUCUGGGCCGUAACUGACGCUGAGGAGCGAAAGCAUGGGGAGCGAACAGG